AGCGAACGUUAGCGGCGCGCCUAACACAUGCAAGUCGCACGAGAAAGGGGGCAACCCCCGGUACAGUGGCGCACGGGUGAGUAACACGUGGAUUACCUGCCCUGGAGUGGUGGAUAACCUGCCGAAAGGUGGGCUAAUACAGCAUGAGACCACGCGGUUUCGAUCGUGAGGUCAAAGCGGGCUUCUGUUCACAAGCUCGCGCUCUAGGAUGGGUCCGCGGCCCAUCAGCUAGUUGGUAGGGUAACGGCCUACCAAGGCUACGACGGGUAGCUGGUCUGAGAGGAUGGCCAGCCACACUGGAACUGAGACACGGUCCAGACUCCUACGGGAGGCAGCAGUGGGGAAUCUUGCGCAAUGGACGAAAGUCUGACGCAGCGACGCCGCGUGGGUGACGAAGGCCUCGG
Molecule: ribosomal RNA, 404 nt
Filed under: uncultured bacterium
Lineage: Bacteria
Description: bacterial SSU rRNA
Rfam family: Bacterial small subunit ribosomal RNA
Source: RNAcentral